GCGAGAGUGGCGGAAUUGGUAGACGCACUGGAUUUAGGUUCCAGCGCCGCAAGGCGUGGGGGUUCGAGUCCCCCCUUUCGCACCA
Molecule: transfer RNA, 85 nt
Filed under: Rhizobium sp.
Lineage: Bacteria; Pseudomonadati; Pseudomonadota; Alphaproteobacteria; Hyphomicrobiales; Rhizobiaceae
Also listed under: 23 other names
Description: tRNA-Leu
Rfam family: tRNA
About the family: Transfer RNA (tRNA) molecules are approximately 80 nucleotides in length. Their secondary structure includes four short double-helical elements and three loops (D, anti-codon, and T loops). Further hydrogen bonds mediate the characteristic L-shaped molecular structure. tRNAs have two regions of fundamental functional importance: the anti-codon, which is responsible for specific mRNA codon recognition, and the 3' end, to which the tRNAs corresponding amino acid is attached (by aminoacyl-tRNA synthetases). tRNAs cope with the degeneracy of the genetic code in two manners: having more than one tRNA (with a specific anti-codon) for a particular amino acid; and 'wobble' base-pairing, i.e. permitting non-standard base-pairing at the 3rd anti-codon position.
Source: RNAcentral